This 796-nucleotide ribosomal RNA is filed under the name uncultured archaeon. RNAcentral's name for it is "bacterial SSU rRNA". It matches the Rfam family "Archaeal small subunit ribosomal RNA", at positions 85 to 879 of the family's 1478-position model. The record is from RNAcentral.
ACGGCUCAGUAACACGUAGUCAACAUGCCCAGGGGACGUGGAUAACCUCGGGAAACUGAGGAUAAACCACGAUAAGUCACUACUUCUGGAAUGGGUAAUGACUCAAAUCUACAUGGCCCCUGGAUUGGACUGCGGCCGAUCAGGCUGUUGGUGAGGUAAUGGCCCACCAAACCUGUAACCAGGUACGGGCUCUGAGAGGAGGAGCCCGGAGAUGGGCACUGAGACAAGGGCCCAGGCCCUAUGGGGCGCAGCAGGCGCCGAAACCUCUGCAAUAGGCGAAAGCCUGACAGGGUUACUCUGAGUGAUUUCCGUUAAGGAGAUCUUUUGGCACCUCUAAAAAUGGUGCAGAAUAAGGGGUGGGCAAGUCUGGUGUCAAGCCGCCGCGGUAAUACCAGCACCCCGAGUGGUCGGGACGUUUAUUGGGCCUAAAGCAUCCGUAUGCCGGUCUACAAGUCUUUCCGUUAAAUCCGCCUGCUUAACAGAUGGGCUGCGGAAGAUACUAUAGAGCUAGGAGGCGGGAGAGGCAAGCGGUACUCGAUGGGUAGGGGUAAAAUCCGUUGAUCCAUUGAAGACCACCAGUGGCGAAGGCGGCUUGCCAGAACGCGCUCGACGGUGAGGGAUGAAAGCUGGGGGAGCAAACCGGAUUAGAUACCCGGGUAGUCCCAGCUGUAAACUGAUGCAGACUCGGUGAUGAGUUGGCUUUAUGCCAACUCAGUGCCGCAGGGAAGCCGUUAAGUUUGCCGCCUGGGGAGUACGGUCGCAAGACUGAAACUUAAAGGAAUUGGCGGGGGAGCAC